CUGGGUAGCCAAGUACGGACGGGAUAAGCGCUGAAAGCAUCUAAGCGUGAAGCCCCCCUCAAGAUGAGAUUUCCCAAUUAGUAAGACCCCUUGAAGACGACGAGGUUGAUAGGUUCGGGGUGGAAGCGCGGCAACGUGUGGAGCUGACGAAUACUAAUCGGUCGAGGGCUUAUCCUA
Molecule: ribosomal RNA, 177 nt
Filed under: Paenibacillus soyae
Lineage: Bacteria; Bacillati; Bacillota; Bacilli; Caryophanales; Paenibacillaceae
Description: partial 23S ribosomal RNA
Rfam family: Bacterial large subunit ribosomal RNA
Source: RNAcentral